RNAcentral lists this ribosomal RNA (429 nucleotides) under Bacteroidota bacterium. Its description in RNAcentral is "Bacteroidetes bacterium partial 16S ribosomal RNA". It matches the Rfam family "Bacterial small subunit ribosomal RNA", at positions 355 to 776 of the family's 1533-position model. Lineage: Bacteria; Pseudomonadati; Bacteroidota. The record is from RNAcentral.
UAGGGAAUCUUCCGCAAUGGACGCAAGUCUGACGGAGCAACGCCGCGUGAGUGAAGAAGGAUUUCGGUUCGUAAAACUCUGUUGUUAGAGAAGAACAGCGCAUAGAGUAACUGUUAUGCGUGUGACGGUAUCUAACCAGAAAGCCACGGCUAACUACGUGCCAGCAGCCGCGGUAAUACGUAGGUGGCAAGCGUUGUCCGGAUUUAUUGGGCGUAAAGCGAGCGCAGGCGGUCAAUUAAGUCUGAUGUGAAAGCCCCCGGCUCAACCGGGGAGGGUCAUUGGAAACUGGUUGACUUGAGUGCAGAAGAGGAGAGAGGAAUUCCAUGUGUAGCGGUGAAAUGCGUAGAUAUAUGGAGGAACACCAGUGGCGAAGGCGACUCUCUGGUCUGUAACUGACGCUGAGGCUCGAAAGCGUGGGUAGCAAACAGG